GUGUCAUCCACACUUGUGGCCACGUCAACAUCUGAGAACCCUACUAUAUCUAAAUCAUUAGAUGGCUUGAUGUGUAAACAAAAGUUGAAUGUUCCUUUGAGAUAUCUUAGUAUCCUCUUUAUCCCUUGUCGGUGAUUUGUUUUAGGAGAGCUCAUGUAUUGGUUGAGUUUAUUGACUGCAAAGGCAAUAUAAGGCAUUGUGUUUGCCAAAUAUUAUAGUGCACCUAUGGCCUGCCUAUACUUGGUUGGUUCAGCCAUUGGUUCUCCUUCAUUUGUGAACUGUCUUCUUGUUAUCAUAGGUGUUAGACAGGUUGAUGCUUUCUCCAUUUUGAGUUUCACCUAUGUAUUUUGAUUGCCUCAGAUACGUUCCUUUUGCAUCUCUUUGAACUUCAAUACCCAAAAAGUAGUGUAAAUAACCAAGAUCCUUUAUGGAAAACACAAUAUUGAGUUGCUUGAUGAAAAACUCUAAGAACUUGGUGUUGUUUCUUGUCACAAUUAUGUCAUCUGCAUAAAUUAUGUCUCUAUGCAUGAAGAGAGGAGUACCUUUUCACUAGAAGAAAUUUUUGAGAUUGUGUCACUCAAGCUGUGAUGCUUGUGGAAGAAAUGCUCUCACAAUCUCUUUGCGAUGAUUCAUUCGGCUAUUUUCUUCAACCUCCGCAAACCUUUUAAUGAAAUUACAUAUGCGCCUCUCAUUUUCUUAGUCCCGUGUUCUUUCUCCCCAGUCUCGUGCUCUCUUUCAACUCUCCUCCAAAUCUUUAUUCUCCAAAUCAUUCCAAAUCUUCUUUUUACUUUGCUUAGUCUCGUGCAUGAAUCUCUCAAAUCGUUCAAAAUUAUUAUCUCUUCCCUCGUUGCUGCUCUUUGCUCGUUCCCAACUAAAUUGUUUUUUUCUCCAAGUAACCCUAUCUUUUUCUCCAUUAAAUUCUUACUGCAAGAUACUACCCUUUUUUGUUUCUUUUUGAAUUAAACCCUAUUUUGAUUCUAGAUCAAACAUUAUUUUGUUUCUCUAUGGGUUUUACUAUAUUUCUCUUUGUAAUUUUGAUGUGUAUGUUUAUCUUUUUCCCCCUACUCAAUGAUGAAUGUUCCAUGUCAUUAGAACAACCCUGCAGAAUCAUAUUCAACAAACCUUUUUCUACCUAUUUUGUUUUUCAAUGUGUGAAUGUCUUCAACCCUAUCUUUUUCUUCUAUCUUUACAUAACUUUUCCUAUUGUAUGAAAUCUUCACAUGGGGAUGAAAAUCAAGAUUGACACACUUGUGGCAAAGAAAUUCAGAUAAGGGGUGAUGGAAUUUUUAUUGAUGAAUCAACCAUUAGAUAGCCCAAUUUGUGAUCAAGGUGGAGAGUGUGAUCUUCAUGAUCAAUAAUUGGCAUUUGGCUCUAAUCGUGGCCGGUUCACUGAAAUGAAGAUAUCUAUGAUGGACAAAAAUCUUGGGCCUUUCAUGAAGAUUUUGAUGAUGCGGUGCAUUAAAUGUACAAGAUUUGGUGAACAAUUCGGAUACAAUCACAAGUUGAAGGCUCUAGGUGAUUUAAAAGUUGAAUUUGUGUUUGAGCAGAGAUUGUAGUGUCUAUGGUUAUGAGAAAAUGUAUGGAUUCAUCCGUUUUGAGAAAUCUUAUGUGUGAUUCUUUUUUUGUCCUUCAACUUGUUAGAUUAUAGCCUGAUGGUUGAAUGUUUGUUCUAUAACAGUUGGUUUGAUAGAUACAAAUAUACACACUUUGAAUGCUUGAUCGUGUUUAAGUUUAA
Long non-coding RNA from Cicer arietinum (chickpea), 1735 nucleotides. RefSeq lists it as uncharacterized. Lineage: Eukaryota; Viridiplantae; Streptophyta; Magnoliopsida; Fabales; Fabaceae. The record is from RefSeq and is a predicted model, not a curated record.